RNAcentral lists this ribosomal RNA (406 nucleotides) under uncultured bacterium. RNAcentral describes it as "partial 16S ribosomal RNA". It matches the Rfam family "Bacterial small subunit ribosomal RNA", at positions 28 to 526 of the family's 1533-position model. The record is from RNAcentral.
GACGAACGCUGGCGGCGUGCUUAACACAUGCAAGUCGAACGAGAGGCGAACGGGUGAGUAAUACGUGAGUAACCUGCCCUAUGUUUGGGAUAGGCCUUGGAAACGGGGUCUAAUACCGGAUAAAGGGGGAUGGGGUAGCGGCCUAUCAGCUUGUUGGUGGGGUGAUGGCCUACCAAGGGGGUGACGGGUAGCCGGCCUGAGAGGGUGACAGGCCACUGUGGCACUGCGAUACGGCCCAGCCUCCUACGGGAGUCAGCAGUGGGGGAUAUUGCACAAUGGGCGAAAGCCUGAUGCAGCGACUCCGCGUGGGGGAUGAAGGCUUUCGGGUUGUAAACCUCUCUCGCUAUAGAACGGGUAGGUGGAGAAGAAGCGCCGGCUAACUACGUGCCAGCAGCCGCGGUAAUAC